Molecule: ribosomal RNA, 502 nt
Filed under: uncultured bacterium
Lineage: Bacteria
Description: partial 16S ribosomal RNA
Rfam family: Bacterial small subunit ribosomal RNA
Source: RNAcentral
AUUGAACGCUGGCGGCAUGCCUUACACAUGCAAGUCGAACGGCAGCACGGGUGCUUGCACCUGGUGGCGAGUGGCGAACGGGUGAGUAAAGCAUCGGAACGUACCGUGUAGUGGGGGAUAACGUAGCGAAAGUUACGCUAAUACCGCAUACGCACCGAGGUGGAAAGCAGGGGAUCGUAAGACCUUGCGCUAUACGAGCGGCCGAUGUCAGAUUAGCUAGUUGGUAGGGUAAAGGCCUACCAAGGCGACGAUCUGUAGCGGGUCUGAGAGGAUGAUCCGCCACACUGGGACUGAGACACGGCCCAGACUCCUACGGGAGGCAGCAGUGGGGAAUUUUGGACAAUGGGGGCAACCCUGAUCCAGCCAUGCCGCGUGAGUGAAGAAGGCCUUCGGGUUGUAAAGCUCUUUCGGCCGGGAAGAAAUCGCACAGGCUAAUACCCUGUGUGGAUGACGGUACCGGCAUAAGAAGCACCGGCUAACUACGUGCCAGCCGCCGCCGUAA